This 422-nucleotide ribosomal RNA is filed under the name Copeoglossum nigropunctatum. RNAcentral describes it as "partial 16S ribosomal RNA". It matches the Rfam family "Bacterial large subunit ribosomal RNA", at positions 1969 to 2589 of the family's 2925-position model. The record is from RNAcentral. Lineage: Eukaryota; Metazoa; Chordata; Lepidosauria; Squamata; Scincidae.
UUGUCUUUUAAAUAAAGACCUGUAUGAACGGCUAAAUGAGGGUAAGCCUGUCUCAUAUAACUAAUCAGUGAAACUGAUCUUCCAGUACAAAAGCUGGAAUAAUCACAUAAGACGAGAAGACCCUGUGGAGCUUAAAACAACCACUAAACAAACAUUAAAUUGUCUUAGCACGCGUUUUCAGUUGGGGCGACUUCGGAAUAAAAACCAACUUCCGAGCACAGAGCCACAAUCUCUAACCGAGGCCAACAAGCCAAAGCACGAAAACCGACCCGGCCUUGCCGAUCAACGAACCAAGUUACCCCAGGGAUAACAGCGCAAUCUUCUUCGAGAGCCCCUAUCAACAAGAAGGUUUACGACCUCGAUGUUGGAUCAGGACACCCAAAUGGUGCAGCCGCUAUUAAAGGUUCGUUUGUUCAACGAUU